UCCGAGUUAACCCCGGCAGUCUCCCGCGAGUCCCCAACACUACUUGCUGGCAACACGGGAUAAGGGUUGCGCUCGUUGCGGGACUUAACCCAACAUCUCACGACACGAGCUGACGACAGCCAUGCACCACCUGUCACCCAGUCCGAAGAGGGCCCCAUCUCUGAGGCUUUCCGGGUGAUGUCAAACCCAGGUAAGGUGGGGAUGACGUCGGAGGAAUUCCA
Molecule: unclassified non-coding RNA, 221 nt
Filed under: uncultured Actinomycetes bacterium
Lineage: Bacteria; Bacillati; Actinomycetota; Actinomycetes
Description: uncultured actinobacterium contains 16S-23S intergenic spacer region
Source: RNAcentral